RNAcentral lists this unclassified non-coding RNA (272 nucleotides) under Hevea brasiliensis (rubber tree). Lineage: Eukaryota; Viridiplantae; Streptophyta; Magnoliopsida; Malpighiales; Euphorbiaceae. The record is from RNAcentral.
AGCUAGAGGUAUUGCUAGGAUACAUACUGAGAAUGGUGGCAAGUUAGUCCACGGAAACGUCAAAUCCUCAAAUAUCUUUCUGAACUCUAAACAAUACGGUUGUGUAUCUGAUGUUGGUCUGUCAACAAUAAUGAGCUCGUUAGCUCAUCCAGUUGCACGUGCUGCUGGUUUUCGCGCUCCAGAAGUAACAGACACACGUAAAGCCACUCAACCUUCUGACGUGUACAGCUUUGGUGUGUUGCUAUUAGAGCUCUUGACAGGCAAGUCCCCCA